UCUCUGGUGGCCUAGUGGUUAGAGCAUCUGUCUCAGAUUUGGGAGGUUGCAGGUUUGAAUCCUGGCAGAGUCAUGCCAAAGAC
Non-coding RNA from Potamilus streckersoni, 83 nucleotides. Lineage: Eukaryota; Metazoa; Mollusca; Bivalvia; Unionida; Unionidae. The record is from the annotation of a GenBank genome assembly.